AACGCGAAGAACCUUACCUACCCUUGACAUCCUUGGAAUCCUGCUGAAAGGCGGGAGUGCCGAAAGGAACCGAGAGACAGGUGCUGCAUGGCUGUCGUCAGCUCGUGUCGUGAGAUGUUGGGUUAAGUCCCGUAACGAGCGCAACCCUUGUCCUUCGUUGCCAUCUUGAAAGAGAGGAACUCGAAGGAGACUGCCGGUGACAAACCGGAGGAAGGUGGGGAUGACGUCAAGUCAUCAUGGCCUUUAUGGGUAGGGCUACACACGUGCUACAAUGGGGUGCACAACGGGAAGCGAACUUGUGAGAGGGAGCCAAUCCUUAGAAACACCUCGUAGUCCGGAUUGGAGUCUGCAACUCGACUCCAUGAAGUUGGAAUCGCUAGUAAUCGCGGAUCAGAAUGCCGCGGUGAAUACGUUCCCGGGCCUUGUACACACCGGUACUA
RNAcentral lists this ribosomal RNA (440 nucleotides) under uncultured bacterium. RNAcentral's name for it is "bacterial SSU rRNA". It matches the Rfam family "Bacterial small subunit ribosomal RNA", at positions 958 to 1398 of the family's 1533-position model. The record is from RNAcentral.